This 62-nucleotide transfer RNA is filed under the name Cypridopsis vidua. RNAcentral's name for it is "tRNA-His". Lineage: Eukaryota; Metazoa; Arthropoda; Ostracoda; Podocopida; Cyprididae. The record is from RNAcentral.
AUUUGAAUAGUUUAUAUAAAAUAUGAAAUUGUGAUUUUCAUGAUGCAUUUAUGCUUUAGAUA